RNAcentral lists this ribosomal RNA (487 nucleotides) under uncultured Janthinobacterium sp. Its description in RNAcentral is "bacterial SSU rRNA". It matches the Rfam family "Bacterial small subunit ribosomal RNA", at positions 71 to 553 of the family's 1533-position model. The record is from RNAcentral. Lineage: Bacteria; Pseudomonadati; Pseudomonadota; Betaproteobacteria; Burkholderiales; Oxalobacteraceae.
GCACGGAGCUUGCUCUGGUGGCGAGUGGCGAACGGGUGAGUAAUAUAUCGGAACGUACCCUAGAGUGGGGGAUAACGUAGCGAAAGUUACGCUAAUACCGCAUACGAUCUAAGGAUGAAAGUGGGGGAUCGCAAGACCUCAUGCUCGUGGAGCGGCCGAUAUCUGAUUAGCUAGUUGGUAGGGUAAAAGCCUACCAAGGCAUCGAUCAGUAGCUGGUCUGAGAGGACGACCAGCCACACUGGAACUGAGACACGGUCCAGACUCCUACGGGAGGCAGCAGUGGGGAAUUUUGGACAAUGGGCGAAAGCCUGAUCCAGCAAUGCCGCGUGAGUGAAGAAGGCCUUCGGGUUGUAAAGCUCUUUUGUCAGGGAAGAAACGGUGAGAGCUAAUAUCUCUUGCUAAUGACGGUACCUGAAGAAUAAGCACCGGCUAACUACGUGCCAGCAAGCCGCGGUAAUACGUAGGGUGCAAGCGUUAAUCGGAAUUA